This is a non-coding RNA of Pongo abelii (Sumatran orangutan), 72 nucleotides long. Lineage: Eukaryota; Metazoa; Chordata; Mammalia; Primates; Hominidae. The record is from Rfam.
AGGGGUAUAGCUGAGGGGUAGACCAUUUGGCUGCAGAUCAAGUGGUCCCUGGUUCAAAUCUGGGUGCCUUCU